This 355-nucleotide unclassified non-coding RNA is filed under the name uncultured Coprinopsis. RNAcentral describes it as "sequence contains ITS1". The stretch from base 1 to 104 matches the Rfam family "5.8S ribosomal RNA", at positions 51 to 154 of the family's 154-position model. The record is from RNAcentral. Lineage: Eukaryota; Fungi; Basidiomycota; Agaricomycetes; Agaricales; Psathyrellaceae.
AAAUGCGAUAAGUAAUGUGAAUUGCAGAAUUCAGUGAAUCAGCGAAUCUUUGGACGAACCUUCCGCUCCUUGGUAUUCCGAGGAGCAUGCCUGUUUGAGAGUCAUUAAAUUCUCAACCUCACCAAUUUUUGUAAUGAAAGAUGUGUGCAGGCUUGGACGUGGGGGUUUGCAGGUCCGCCUCCUGGUGGUCUGCUCCUCUGAAAUGCAUUAGUGGGUUGUGCCCCUAAUCUAUUGGUGUGAUAAUUAUCUACGCGGUGGAUCAUGUUGGCUACUAUAGACCUGCUUCUAACCGUCCGUCUCGGACAACUUUGACAUUUUUGACCUCAAAUCAGGUAAGACUACCCGCUGAACUUAA